Molecule: long non-coding RNA, 611 nt
Organism: Musa acuminata AAA Group (dessert banana)
Lineage: Eukaryota; Viridiplantae; Streptophyta; Magnoliopsida; Zingiberales; Musaceae
Exons: 2
Source: RefSeq, a predicted model, not a curated record
CUCUACGAGAUGGAAACACCACAACUCCUCUUGCAUCCGCUUCCCCCAUCGGUAGUCCAUCGACUUCGCUCCACCCCAUGUCGAGCCCAUUCAUGGAUCAAUCCUCGCCCACUGCCAAUGUCCAAGCGGUCUCAAGAAGGGUCUCCGACGGCCUGCUCACCAAAUUCCCGGACACGUCGGAGUUCGACUUCGAGUACGAGAAGAGCAGCCUGUGGUCGCCUCCGGUGCGGUGCGCCACCUCCCUGAGCUCCGAAGGUGAAGUGCUUGCCGAACUGAGGGCCUCUACUGCUGGGCGCCGUCGUAGCCCAUUGAACAAGGUCUUCCGGUGCUUCCACAGCGAAGAAGGUCGGUGGCAUGGAGGUCGAUGAGCUUCUGAACAUAGUUUGCAUGCGGUCAAUGAUUUCUUUAGGCUUGAUCUCAGAUGCUUUUUUUUUGGACUCUAAGAAACAUCUCUAUCCCCAAAAUCAUCUUUUGAUUUUGAAACCUAUCAGACUUCAAAGGAAUAAAAUAUUUAUAUGUGAAUGUGAGUCUCAAUGAUGUCUCUGUCUCCAGAUACAUUCUUGCUGGAUGCAAGAUGCAAUGAUUAUAAACGUCUAACAAUUAGAGUUGUA